Molecule: ribosomal RNA, 422 nt
Filed under: uncultured bacterium
Lineage: Bacteria
Description: bacterial SSU rRNA
Rfam family: Bacterial small subunit ribosomal RNA
Source: RNAcentral
GAAUCUUCCGCAAUGGACGCAAGUCUGACGGAGCGACGCCGCGUGAGCGAUGAAGGUCUUCGGAUCGUAAAGCUCUGUUGUUAGGGAAGAACAAGUAUCGGAAUAACUGCCGGUACCCUGACGGUACCUAACCAGAAAGCCCCGGCUAACUACGUGCCAGCAGCCGCGGUAAUACGUAGGGGGCAAGCGUUGUCCGGAAUUAUUGGGCGUAAAGGGCGCGCAGGCGGUUAUUUAAGUCUGAUGUGAAAUCUUGUGGCUUAACCACAAGCGGUCAUUGGAAACUGAAUAACUUGAGUGCAGAAGAGGAGAGUGGAAUUCCACGUGUAGCGGUGAAAUGCGUAGAGAUGUGGAGGAACACCAGUGGCGAAGGCGGCUCUCUGGUCUGCAACUGACGCUGAGGCGCGAAAGCGUGGGUAGCGAAC